Mycena rebaudengoi is the source of this 93-nucleotide non-coding RNA. Lineage: Eukaryota; Fungi; Basidiomycota; Agaricomycetes; Agaricales; Mycenaceae. The record is from the annotation of a GenBank genome assembly.
GACCUGUUAGGGCAGAUGGUAGCCCACCCGAUAGAAAUUCCGCAUCACAAGUAGCCUAUGCGGGAGGCCCCAGUUCGACUCUGGGAUGGGCCA